CAUAUGUGUGCAUGUGUCUUUAUAAGCAGCAUGAUUUAUAAUCCAUUGGGUAUAUACCCAGUAAUGGGAUGGCUGGGUCAAAUGGUAUUUCUAGUUCUAGUGAGCAUUUAGAUAAGCAAGCCAUUGUUUUCUUUGAGGAAUGCAGGCAUCAUAGAGGAUGUAGUAUCUAUUACUGUGAAAAUUUUCAUCCUAUGAGUCUUGAAAGGAGGCAGAGCCCAUCUACCAUGGUAGACGUCAAAGAUACAGAUAUAGAUUUCUGUAGCCUUCCUUAGAGAAAGGGUACUACUACAUGACCUAGAUUUACUGGUCAGAUUCCACCCAUCCUACUUCUGAACUUUGAAUCAGUUCAUUUCAAAAGAAAAGGGACAGUAGAGAAAACAUCUCGGUGUUGAUGGUGAAGUGGUAGUGUAGCAUCCAGGUUCCAGGCUCAGCAGUAGAAGCAUCAAUUGUCCUGCAGCAGCAACUAAAAUAGCGCCAGCUUAGCAGGGCAGCUCUGUCCUCAUGGGCCUGGCUCUGGAACUUGAUAUUUACCAGUUGGCUGCUGCCUGGCCUCCCUUGUGUCUGACCAUUCUCGAACUUGGUUCACAAUUUUUCCUUUCACACCACUAGCUACUAAAUACUUAUUCAAUACAUUUAUAUUCUGUGUAAAUGAGACAGUGUUGUUUUCUGUUGCUUGCUUCAAAAAACACCAGCUGAUACAGAGAGAUGAUGCAUGAACACACACAGAUGGAUGAGGUAAAACAGAAUAGAAAAGUCAAAAAUUUAGAAUUCUCGAUUUUUCUGUUGCCUACAACCACUACAUCGAAACUUCUAGCUAAAUCUACUGUUUUAUUCUCCAAAACAUAUCUUCCUGUAUUUAUUGUCCAUCUCCAUUACUAUGACCCUGUUGAAGCCACAUCUCUUUCCUAUGUUAAGCAAAAUUUUAUGUAAAUAUCCUCUCUAGGUCCCAAAUUAAUUUAAGCUUCUCAUAAGCCAGUGGCUAAAAGGUUUAGAAAACCAAAGGAGAGUUAUCAAUUAGAAAGCUUUUGCAAAAACUAUUUUCUACUUAAGAUAGCAUUGGAUUUUAACCAGACAUUCACUGCAAUGGAUUUUCAGACCUCUGUUUUUUUCUUUCUUUUUUUUUUUUUCAGGCCUUGAAGUUGUAGUAGAAUUGUAAAAGGCUCUUCAUCUCCCGCUCUCUUCUACAUAUAGAAAGCAGGAGAAAUAAAUUCAUCUAUUGUCACAUUUUCUGGAAACAGUCUGGUUACCCCUGUUUCUCCCUUGAGGUGACCAGCCUGCUUCAACUGAAUGCUCAACAGAGAUAUCAUAUUACAGUUUUACUUUCUCAUUUUGAACAUGGAAAGACUAGCUUCCUCUAUUUUUUAGAGGCUAUAUUGCAAUGUAGUAAGAAUUUAUGGAAAAUUCUCACAACAAAAUUGAAUAUAGAAAGACUACAGAAUACUUCCUCCUUUGGUGAUUACUCAUGUAACUGUUUUCCAACUCAUAAAGUAAGCAAGUUAAACUCUUCUCCUAUCACUCCAAGAAAAUGUGAACUGUUCAUUUGUCUGGAAAAAUCUAUAAUUGAAUCCAUCUGUGCCUGUGGGUUUCAGUUUAUUUUCCCUUUUCUUUCAGUGAAGGGUUUUAAGUGACAAAUUUGAUUCCUUAAUAGAUAUCAGACAAUUCUAAUAUUUAACUUCUUCUUUUGUCAUCUUUACUAAGUUAUAUUGUCCCAGGAAUUUGUCUAUUUUAUUCACAUUGUCAAAUUUUUGUCAUACAGUUUUUCAGAAUGUCACGUCUAAAUAUCUUUUGAUCUGUGAAGAUUUGUAGUGAUAUGAUAUUAAUAGCACCCAUAAUAUUAAUUUUCUUCUCUUAUUGUAUCAAUCAGUCUUUUUAGUGUUUAUCAAUUGUGUUAAUGUUAUUAACGUGUCAAAUUUUGGCUCUUGUCUUAUGAUUUAUAUUUAUUUUAUUAAUAUCUGCAUUUAUAUUUAUUAUUCAUUUAGGUUUUUCAUCUUUAUACAAAUUAAAUACAAAUAAUACAAAAUUUCGUAUAGUUACAAAGUAAAAUGCAAGAAUAAAAAUGUUAUUUAGCAGCAAAUUAAAGAACUAUGUGAUGAGGAGUAAAAUAGAAAUGGAAGUACUCAUUGCUUUACCAUUUUAUGUGAGAUUAUCUAGAUACAUUUUCAGUUGCUAAAUUAUUCAAAAGAAGAUUAAGUAUAUUCUUAAAAAUCAUAAUUACUGAAAAAACUAAGAUUUCAGAAAUUUCUGACAAAAUCUGAAGAGUUGAAAAGUGGAAAUGGUAUUUUUAUUAUUUAAAUGUAUCAGCUAAAUUUCUCAUAUGGGAGUGCCAAAUUUGAUAAUCAAGAAAGAGUAGUAUUAAUAUAUUAUUUCCUGUUCUUUUGGUAACCAUAAUGUAUCAGCUAACAUUUGAGUCAACUUUGAAGAAUGGGGGAAAGUUAUGGAGACAAUGGAAACAGAGGAUUUUUUCCCUCUCACAUGAUAAUGUUUAUGGACAGACAUUUUUUUGUGUUACAGCACGGCUCCUUUUAUUUUCUGCUUCUGCAGGCCCCUGCUCUAUGCUGUUCUGUGAGCCUAGGUCUGACACUUUCAAAUUAGGAUAUAAGAUAGCUGCUAAUAUUCAAGAGCUAACUACAAGAAAAUGAAACAUGCAGAAGAUAGGUGUCUCUUUUCUCAUUAAAAACUUCUCUCUAAAUUAGAACAUACGUUUCUGUUUAUGUCUCAUAAACCAAAUUGUAGCUAAAUGAUGUCUUCUAGGCAAGAUAGGUUACAAAGUAUUGUUUUAGUUCUUUUGGCAGUAGACAUAACUAAGGGUAAGCCACAAGAUGGUGAGAACACAUAUUGGGGUAAGCAGCAAGCGGUCUCCACAAGACACUAAAAUAACGUUAUGGAGAAAGAGUUAAAAGAUAUUACCGCUGAGGAGAGGAGCCAAGAUGGCCGAAUAGGAACAGCUCCGGUCUACAGCUCCCAGCGUGAGCGACGCAGAAGACGGUGAUUUCUGCAUUUCCAUCUGAGGUACCGGGUUCAUCUCGCCAGACAGUGGGUGCAGAGAUGGGAUUGUGCUAGAGCAGCACAGGCUGGUCUUGAAUUCUGAGAUCAAGCAACCCUCCUGCCUCAUCUUUGUGAAUAUCUGGGACUACAGUGAAAAAGAUGAACGGCAGAAACUGGAGCCCUUUGUUACAGAGCUAAACAUAUACACCUGGUCGCAGAAACUGAAGAAAGAUCCAGAGAAAAGUGGAACAAUUGCAAGCCCAGCUGCUGCUUCACAGCAAAGAGGUGACUCAGCAGAUCUGCAAUAAGUCCGUGAACUACAAAAUGACCAUUGUUUCUCUUCUUCCUUUCAAAUCUUCCAAGAAUAUCCCUUGCUGCUCACUCUAAUGAAAACAUGCAAAAGAAGAUAUUCAGGGAAACUAGGUUGACAUAUUGCAAAGCCAUCACAAUUCUCUAUCUACAUUCCACAUUCAACUGUAGUACACAGAUUAGGCUCCUCACCUAGCUCUAGUUUGAGACUGAUUUCUGUUCUUAUUUUAUAAGAUCUCUUAGAAGUUUUUUGUAUAGUUAUUGUUUUAAGCAAUUAAUUACAAUUGAAAUUUUGGAGGAUGUGUGGGGAUUAAGUUUCUUUCUGAUACUAGUAAAUUCCUUCCCUAUGAAAGGAGAAAUGACUGCCAGAGAGAAAUUUUCAGACAGUUGUGACAAAGUUACAAUUUUCAUCUAAGGUAAACUGGAAAGCAGUGUGGGUCCUUUAUUAUUAUCUUCCCAGGAAUAUACUAGGAUGAUGCACGAGUACAUUCUAGAAAGGCAAAAGAAUUGAUAUGUCAUACAUCCUUAUUGGAAUUCAAAUACUGGCCAAUCCUGACAGCUGUUCCUAAUAGACAAUGGAUUGUGACUAAAGCCAGAGUCAUAUGCCUCCCUUAAAGUCAAUACAAAAAUAAGUUGAGGCUAAAAUUACUAUUCAGAUACUGCUAGGAGUGGGUAUAAAGUUAUUUAUCAAAAGUUUCUCAGAUAAUAUUUCAAAAUGAGCUAAGGAAAAUUAUAAAUAUUGAAAGGAAGGGGAUAAAUUAAAUUUGUACGAGGAGGUGUGCACAGAGAAAUUAUAGUUACAAAGGAAUAUUUGUUAAAUGAAAGCAAUGGAAAGCUAACAACUUAUGGAUCAAACAAUACUUAACUAAGAGUGCAUAAAAUCUUUCAUAUUAUUUCUCUCCAGUGGAAGUGUCUCUUUAUAGUCUUGUAUAUUACCUGAAUUUUGAAAGUAUACAUUAUUUUUCACUUAAAAUAUUAAUUUUAUUUCUAGACUAUGUAUUUCAGAAGAAAAUAGAUGUUAACAAAACUAGGAUAAAACUAAAUUGUGUGUGUGUGUGUGUGUGUGUGUGUGUGUGGUGUAUUAACACUCAUUAUGGGUUAUAGCAUAGCCGAUAAAAUACAAUAUAUAUUAUACUAACCAGGAAAUAUGCUACAUCGUAUUUAUUGCUGGCAAAUAUGUAUAACAUUUUCCUAUUUUCUUGUAAAAGAUUUAUACAUUAUUUGCAUGUAUACUAAAGUUUUAGCUGAAGUGUUAGGAAUGUCAGAGAGAUUAACUGAAAAGAACUUAAACUGAA
RNAcentral lists this long non-coding RNA (4589 nucleotides) under Homo sapiens (human). RNAcentral's name for it is "HSALNT0073069". Lineage: Eukaryota; Metazoa; Chordata; Mammalia; Primates; Hominidae. The record is from RNAcentral.